RNAcentral lists this ribosomal RNA (492 nucleotides) under uncultured bacterium. RNAcentral describes it as "partial 16S ribosomal RNA". It matches the Rfam family "Bacterial small subunit ribosomal RNA", at positions 29 to 507 of the family's 1533-position model. The record is from RNAcentral.
AGUGAACGCUGGCGGUAGGCCUAACGCAUGCAAGUCGAACGGCAGCACAGUAAGAGCUUGCUCUUACGGGUGGCGAGUGGCGGACGGGUGAGGAAUACAUCGGAUUCUACUUUUUCGUGGGGGAUAACGUAGGGAAACUUACGCUAAUACCGCAUACGACCUACGGGUGAAAGCAGGGGAUCUUCGGACCUUGCGCGAUUGAAUGAGCCGAUGUCGGAUUAGCUAGUUGGCGGGGUAAAGGCCCACCAAGGCGACGAUCCGUAGCUGGUCUGAGAGGAUGAUCAGCCACACUGGAACUGAGACACGGUCCAGACUCCUACGGGAGGCAGCAGUGGGGAAUAUUGGACAAUGGGCGCAAGCCUGAUCCAGCCAUACCGCGUGGGUGAAGAAGGCCUUCGGGUUGUAAAGCCCUUUUGUUGGGAAAGAAAAGCAGCAGGUUAAUACCCCGCUGUUCUGACGGUACCCAAAGAAUAAGCACCGGCUAACUUCGUG